RNAcentral lists this long non-coding RNA (959 nucleotides) under Homo sapiens (human). Its description in RNAcentral is "HSALNT0367597". Lineage: Eukaryota; Metazoa; Chordata; Mammalia; Primates; Hominidae. The record is from RNAcentral.
CAUCAUGGUGAAAUGGCAAAGAGGAAGCAAACACAUCUUCACCUGAAAACUUAAACCAGCAAUAGGUAGUUCCUGUCGGUCCAGAAUUUGGGAGUGGCUGUUUUGGUUUAAAGUAUCUCAUGAGGUUUUAAUCACAAUGUUGGCCCAUUCGAUAAUCAUCUGAAGGCUUGGUCGGGUUAGAUAAUUCACUUCCAUUUAAUGUGGAUCACUCAUUUGUCUGGCAAGUCAUCUUUAUUGUCAGCAAGAGACUGUAGUUUAUUGUCACAUGGUCUGCUUUGUACAAUAUAUUGAGUGUCUUCACAAAAUGGAAGCUGGCACAUAAAGGAAUAUUCCCACAGAACAAGUGAUGUCAGAGAGUAAGGUGGAUACCAUGAUGCCUUUUAUAACCUAGCCUCAGCACCUAGCAACAUUCUAUUAUUUCUGCAAUAUUCUAUUGGUCUCACAGAUCAGCUCUAUUCAGUAUGGAAAAGGACUACACAGAAACUUGAAUAACAUGAGGCAAGAAUCAAUGGGGACCAUCUUGGAUAAUGGUUAUUACCAAGAAGAUAAACACAAUAAUAAAUAGAAUAUUUAAGUGAUGACCAGUGCUCCAAUAACCAUGUUGGAAUAUGAAGCAACCUUGAAGAUGAAAGCUAUGCACUUAGAAUGAGGAGUAGAAACUUAAACACUAAGGACCAAGAAACAGCAACACUAAUCCUGAACUCUAUUUCAGGACUUCUUUUAAAUGAAAAAAAAAAAAAAUAAUAAUCUUCCAUACAUUUAGCCAAUGCGAAUACUGUUCAACUUGACUUGGGCAUUGUCACUUCUUUCUGGUGACCUGAAAUGCAGAGACAAUACUUAUUGAAGUGCAGAGACAAUAAAAGACAAUAAAAGGACAAUAAAAGACAAAGACAAUAUUUACUGAAGUGCAGAGACAAUAAAAUAAUUAUAAGUGAAGAGAAGUCUAAGGAAUCUCUGUG